UGGCUCUCGCAUCGAUGAAGAACGCAGCGAAAUGCGAUAAGUAAUGUGAAUUGCAGAAUUCAGUGAAUCAUCGAAUCUUUGAACGCACCUUGCGCUCCUUGGUAUUCCGAGGAGCAUGCCUGUUUGAGUGUCAUUAAAUUCUCAACCUUUAUCGGCUUUUGUUGAUAGUGGGUUGGACUUGGGGGUUUCCUUUGCUGGCUUCGGAAAAGAGGUCUGCUCCCCUUAAAUUUAUUAGCCGGUGCCCUUUGUGGACUGUCUAUUGGUGUGAUAAUUAUCUACGCCGUGGAUGUCUGCUUAAAACGAGAACGCACUGCUUCUAACCGUCCAUUUGAUUGGACAAUAAAUGACUAUUUGACCUCAAAUCAGGUAGGACUACCCGCUGA
RNAcentral lists this unclassified non-coding RNA (383 nucleotides) under uncultured fungus. RNAcentral's name for it is "partial contains 5.8S ribosomal RNA and internal transcribed spacer 2". The stretch from base 1 to 133 matches the Rfam family "5.8S ribosomal RNA", at positions 22 to 154 of the family's 154-position model. Lineage: Eukaryota; Fungi. The record is from RNAcentral.